This 254-nucleotide ribosomal RNA is filed under the name uncultured bacterium. RNAcentral describes it as "partial 16S ribosomal RNA". It matches the Rfam family "Bacterial small subunit ribosomal RNA", at positions 524 to 776 of the family's 1533-position model. The record is from RNAcentral.
UACGGGGGGGGCAAGCGUUGUUCGGAAUUACUGGGCGUAAAGGGCGCGUAGGCGGCCCAGCUAAGUCGAGUGUUAAAUCCCAGAGCUUAACUCUGGACAGUCGCUCGAUACUAGCGGGCUAGAGUGUGGAAGAGGCGAGUGGAAUUCCUGGUGUAGCGGUGGAAUGCGCAGAUAUCAGGAGGAACACCAAUAGCGAAGGCAGCUCGCUGGGACGGUACUGACGCUAAGGCGCGAAAGCGUGGGGAGCGAACAGG